UAAUAUCCAAGCUCAUCAUCUUGAUAAACAUCUAGGACCAUUAACUUUACCCGCUCUCCUUUUUGGAUGCAAGUUCAUGACCUUCCUUCGAACCAAAUUACCAAGCAUAAUGUUGAGUCUAUUGGCAUCCCAUUGGAGGUCUUUGGUUAUGGAUAAUAAUGAUAUUCAAGGGAACUAUCAUCUUCACUAUAUGCACAUUCGUGUUAAUCUCUAGGUUGACAAACCU
RNAcentral lists this long non-coding RNA (226 nucleotides) under Ricinus communis (castor bean). RNAcentral's name for it is "long non-coding RNA (RCOM_LNC002064)". Lineage: Eukaryota; Viridiplantae; Streptophyta; Magnoliopsida; Malpighiales; Euphorbiaceae. The record is from RNAcentral.